RNAcentral lists this transfer RNA (58 nucleotides) under Rattus norvegicus (Norway rat). Lineage: Eukaryota; Metazoa; Chordata; Mammalia; Rodentia; Muridae. The record is from Rfam by way of RNAcentral.
UGGCUCAGUAGUUAAGAGCACUGGCUGCUCUUCCAGAGGUCCUGAGUUCAAUUCUCAG